GCGUCGAUUAUGCGAAAAGAAGGUGAAGUCUGGAUUGCCUGCCAUGGGCGCGAAGGCGAAGGCGGAGGCGGAGGGCUAAGCUACGAAGCCAAAACAAUGGCUAGCGAGGAGAUUGACGCCUGGCGUGAAAGCAAACGAAUUGAUUGCAUUUCUGAUUCUCUUUGAGUGCCUGCUACAAAAUGAUGCAAGUCCACUGCAUUGCAACAUACCAGCCACUCCAACCAGAUAAUGCUAACAGAAUUUCAAUCCUCACCCAGACAGAGACAGGAUAGAUCAAUUUCCCUCCACUCCAUGCUCUCUUAAGUGAGGUUUUACAGCUGCACCAGAAACUGGAAAUAUUUAGACCUCAAGAAUCGAAGUUGUACGAACAAAGAUUCGAUUGGCAAACAAUACAAAUACAAGCCCUGGAUGGCACCCUGGCAAACAAGAUCAAGAGGGCAUCUUCGGU
This is a long non-coding RNA of Andrographis paniculata, 448 nucleotides long. RefSeq lists it as uncharacterized. The record is from RefSeq and is a predicted model, not a curated record. Lineage: Eukaryota; Viridiplantae; Streptophyta; Magnoliopsida; Lamiales; Acanthaceae. The transcript is spliced from 3 exons.